AAUUCGCACAUUCAUCAGCAUAAACAACUCAAAACUUGAAUCAAACUACAAAGUUUUCCAAAAUAAGUUUCUAAUUCACGAAAUUUUCUACACACAUUCAUCAUGAAAUUUACACUUGCCAUUAUUGCCGUUUUCACCAUUGCUGCGCUUUCCUACGCCACCCCAGUGGAAGAAGGGUCACAAACUGGAUACGACGCCAUGAAAAUCCUUGUACCGGAACCCAAGGGUCGUGGACCAUGUCGCAUUACUGGAGAGGGGUGUGGACCCUGUUCUGGGGGAAGUUGUCCCUGCGGAGGUCCUGGUCAACGGGAAUGCUGCUGCAGUCACGUGUGCAACUCACAUGACGGUGUGUGGGGGUGGUGUACAUAAAUAAUUAUCAUGCCCUCAGAACAAUUUUAUCCUCCAAUCCCCCCUUAUUUAAAUUUUUCUUAAUUCUACUUUAAAAUAAUUUAUGGAAAGGUUAUACUAAAAAUUCAAAUAAUAAAAAUGUUAAAUUUUAUCAUUA
This is a long non-coding RNA of Folsomia candida, 505 nucleotides long. RefSeq lists it as uncharacterized. The record is from RefSeq and is a predicted model, not a curated record. Lineage: Eukaryota; Metazoa; Arthropoda; Collembola; Entomobryomorpha; Isotomidae. The transcript has 2 exons.